CCUUUCCUCCCUUCCCUUCACAGGUUGCCCCAUAGUGACCCUGGAGACUCCCGCCUGCCCCCAGUGAAGGAAUUGGUUACUCUCCCAGAGCCCUCCCGGGCAUCGCCCCCUUCCUCACUUCCUCCUCUUCCUGCCCCCAGCCUCUACCCCUCCAGCCUCCUGUGGCUUCACAGGCAAGUGCCGCAUCCCAGGAAGAAGGAGUUGGAGCUCCGUGAUGCCAUUCAAAAACAGAUGAGAUGGGGACAGAUUUAACCCAAAGGACAUAGUUCAACUCCUGGUCUUGACAGAGGAGAAGCCCUCAAAGCAAGACCAACCCCUCCUCUUCCUCUUCCUCCUCAGCCUACUCAAUGUGAAGACAAUAAGGAUGAAGACCAUUAAUGAUGUUCUGCUUCCACUUAAUGAAUAAUAAAUAUAUUUUCUCUUCUUUAUGAUUUUCUUAAUAACAUUUCUCAAGUCUAUUGUAAGAAUACAGUGUAUAAUACAUAUAAUGUACAAAACUUGUAUAAUCAACUGUUUCUGUUACCAAUAAGACAGUAGCCUAUUAGUAGUUAAGUUUUUGGGGGGUCAAAAGUUACAUGCCAAUUUUUGACUGCAUGGGGUGUUGGGGCCCCUAGUCCCUGCAUUGUUUAAGGGUCAACUGUAAUAACAACUAUAAACAACUGAAUGACUUUUUGAUUACAAAAAAUUCCUUGAGACAAAGCCUGAAUAGAACAACCAUAAAUGUGGCUUUGGGGACACUGUUGCGGCUUCAUGUUUCAUCAUGACUAGAGAUAUAAUACCUUAAGUAGUUAGCCACCAACACUCCAAUCGCAAAUUCUGGAGGUCUGGGAUUAUUCCACAAAUCACUGGGUAGAUGCAAACCUUCUAGAGAAGUCUAGUAUCAGCAGAGUAAAACAAUCUCCUUUUAAAAAUAAGAUUUCUUUAUCACUCCCUGCUUUCACGCAAUCACAGCUUCUUUUUAUUUACUUAUUUAUUUUUUAGAUGGAGUCUCACUCUGUUGCCAGGCUAGAAUACAAUGGCACGAACUUGGCUCACUGCAACCUCCGCCUCCUGGGUUCAAGAGAUUCUCCUGCCUCAGCGUCCUGAGUUGCUGGGACUACGGGCACACACCAUCAUGCCCAGCUAAUUUUUGUAUUUUUAGUAGAGACAGGGUUUCACCAUGUUGACCAGGAUGGUCUCGAUCUCUUGACCUCGUGAUCUGCCCACGUCGGCCUCCCAAAGUCCUGGGAUUACAGGCAUGAGCCAGUGCGCCUAGCAAACGACAGCUUUUUGAGCCUCUGUUUAACAAUCUCUUAAACCUUAUAGGUAGGCAGUUCUGAGACAGCUCCUAAUCAUCUCCCCUCCUGGUAUUCAAGCCCUGAUGGAAUACUCUCUUCUUCAAUGUGAGCUGGACUUAGUGGUUUUCUUCUAAUCCAUUGAAUACACACAAGUGAUGAGCUGUCAUUUCCAAAAUUAGUUCACACAAAGCUGUAACUUUUGUUUUGUUCACAGCCUCUCUCAAUUGCCUUCUCAGCUUGUAUGCUUUGAAGAAGCAAGCUGCAGUGUUGGAGAGGCCCAUGUGGCAAGGAAAUGAGGGUGGCCUCCAGUCAAUGGCUGGUGAGAAACUGAGACCUUCCUUCCAACAAUUGUCAAGUAACUGAAUACUCCCAACAAUCAUAUGGGUUAGGUUAGAAGUGAACCUUUCUCUAGUUGAGGUUUCAGAUAAGACCACAGAUAUUAUACUAACACCUUGAUUGCAGGCUUAUGAGAAACCUUGAAAUGAGAAGACUAAGUAAAACCAUAUCUGGAUUCCUGACUUGCAGAAACUGUGUGAUGAUAAAUGUGUGUUAUCUUAAGCCACAAAGUUUUUGGGGUGAUUUGUUCUACAGCAAUUGAUAAUGAAUACUUCAACCUAUAGUGACAACUGGAUGUCUAUUUACUCAUUUUCCCCACCAAAGUGUAAAGUUCCUACAAGGCAGAGGUUACAACAUAUUCAUCCUGCUACCUCUCACAGCCCAUAAUAUACAACCUGACCCAUAAAACAUGAUUAAUCAAUGUUUGUUAAAUUAACAUGUAUUUUGAGUUUCAUUGAAAUCAGUUAGUUGAAGUGAUAAUAACAUUUAAAUGUGCAUGAGCAGUAGGACAAGGCAGAUAGCUGGUUAGGAUAGAAAGUUUUUGAAAAUUGUGAGGGGAAAAAUUAUUUCUAUUUGUACCCUGUUGUACCCAGCUUAGGUUUCAAAAACUUUCAGGGGGUUUUUAUUCAUUUACCAAAGACUUCAAAGUUGGUGCCUCCCCACCACUCUAAAGAGGUCUUUGCCCUUAUUGACCCAACCAUACUGAUUUGCCUGGUGCACAGUGGGAGCUAUUAUAAGGAGAGGGGAGAAGAAGGAAAUAGAAACAACUGUGAAAAAGGUUGAAAAAAAUAGCGAAAAGGAUAGAAAAAGAGCAGAGGAAAGAGAAGAAGUAGUCAACAUCCAACCCAGAUGCAGAGAAAUGAUUCAAAAGAAAAAGUCUGAUUUUCCUGUCGGAAAUAUUUUUAAAAGGAGGUAGGCAUUUAUCAAAAAGGAAAAAAAAAAAAAAAGAAUAACAGAGUUUGUCUUCCAAAGGACCCAAUACUCUUGGAAUUCAAUGACCUAAUUCUGUGUAUGGUUGCAGUGUGGAGAUUGCCUCUUGUCUGAUUCUCAUGGCAUUGAGACCUCUGAUUUCUCAACAGCACAUGCCACAGCACUAUCAGAAGUCAGGAAUAAAGAACAGAGGGUGUGGGGGGCAGUCUAGAUAUUAUGCUCAGCAAACAUAUUUUUAAAUCAGUGUAAAUUCUAUCUUGCUGGUUGCUUAUCUUAGCAGUUAAAUCAACUUUUCGUUACUUUUGUAGACAUUAUAUAAUAUCUUCUCCCCGCAGCUCCAGCCACCAGCUGUUAGUCAGCAGAAUGGGAGAGGGACUGGGUCAGCUUAAGCUGAAUAACUUCCAUGGUGACAUUUGAGGGAACCAAUUCCCAGCCACUGAACAAACCUAAAUGUUCUGCUAUGGCCAUAGAACCAAAUAGAUCUUAACAAAGAAACCUGAGAGCAUUCAAAGGUCAAAACAAUUGGAGCUAGUUCCUUCAAGCUUAAAUAUGCUCAUCUGUAAAGUGGGGACAAUAACUGUGUGUCUUAUAGGGUUAUUUUGAAGGCUAAAUAUGUGUAAAAGCCUCAGUCUACUGAAAGGUUGCUCAACUGUAACACUCUUUUCAUUUUGUGAGGGAUCAUUCUUUGUUGGAGGUUAGGGACACUGUCUCGUGCAUUACAGGAUGUUUAGCAACAUCCUCAGCUUCUAUCCAUCAGAUGUUAGCACCCCCCCCACGGACCACCAUCUUCUCCAUCAUCACCAUCAAAUAUGUCUCCAGACAUUUCCAAGUGUCCCCUGGGAGGCUAAAACUGCCCCUGGUUGAGAACCACUGUUCUAGUACUUGGCAUUGUUCCAUAAACAUCAGAUGAUAUUUUUAUCAUUAUAAUUAUUACUAAAGGCAACAUCACCCUGCUAUGGAGACAGGUCCUUGGUCUCACGGAAUCCCUGCAAUAGUUGCUGCAUUUCUGCAUCUUUCUGAGAGUAAGGGUUGAAAAGAGAUAAGGUCAAUUCAUCUGACAACAAUCCAAUGGGAAACCUACUGUCUCCGUAGAAAUUCUUUUCAUGGAAAGAAAAGGGGCUACCAUUUUGAUCUGCUGCAGGAACUAGGUCUAUUCCUCAGCCUCACAGUUUGCAAAACGCUACAGACUUUUCCAUGGGCAUAAAUUCUCCAGCUUUAGGGAUUGCUGGUAUAGUUGACUCUUGAAGCUGCUCUUGGAUUUCCAAGGGUAGCACCAUUUUUACCUGAGAAAAGAAGGAAAAAGAUAUUCAAGAAGGAGAACUUUUCAACAGAAGUUACUCCAUUUGCUGUUUUUGUGGUUUUGUGCUUGUUUAGGUUUGCAAGUGUGUUUUCUGCCCAAAUUGUUCUUGCAUAUUCUAACAGUGUUUGCUUUACGUGUUUUGAUGCCACGCUGUUUUGAAGGUACAAAUGUUUUUCAUGGCAUGUCUUGUGUUAAGUGUACAAACUGAGACGUGAAUGUCAGUGACUGAAUAGAGUACAGUAUUCCUCAAAGUUUGUAACUAAAUAAACCCUAAGAGAAAAGUGAAGCGAGAUUUCUGGAGGUCUGGAAGUGGCCAGCUGACAAUAUACAUCUCUGUAUCUCCUAUUUUUAUCUUUAUGCUAAAUGCAAAUUUUACUUUCUGUGCUAAAAUAAUGUUUCAUUAGUUUCAAGGUAAAAAUGUGUAAAUAGACUUUCCGUACUGGCUUGUUUAUUCUGUGGUUUUUCCUACUCCCUUUUUAAAAGUAUGUACAGUGAAUUUGCAAAGAUCAUAGUAUUGGAAUCUAACCCACCUGAAUUUCAGUCCUUGGCUAUACUACUGAUAGAAUGGAUUAACUUGGGCAUAUCACUUAAUCCUGAGGACCCUCAGUUUCCAUAUCCGAAAUGAAGAAGUAAGAAGUGACCUACUAUAUCACACCAUUAUAAGAAGUAAAAGCAAUAUAUGUGAACAGUAGAGCAGAGGGCCAGGCACAGAAAGUUCUCUAUAGUCAUUAGCUGGCAUAAUUAUUAUAAAAGGGAGCACUUUUGAUGUAAAACAUAGGUAGAAGUUCACAAAUUUGUUAAUCUGCCCCUACCUCCCAACCGUCUACCUACCCUCCAUACCUGGCCACCUGCCUCAUACAGAUAUUGCCUAACUUUUAAAAAGGAACACUUUUGAUAUAAAACAUAGGUAGAGGGUCACGCAGUACAUGAAUGAGAAAUGAAACAGAGGCCUGUUAAUCUACUGUCACCUCCCAACCCUCUACCCACCCCCUAUACCUGGCCACCUGCCUCUGUGCAGAUCUUGCCUAACCUUUCCCAACAGGAAGAACCUGGGAUUUUGUGAAAUACUUCCGAGGAUGAAACUAACACAGCUCAUUAACCCUCCCAAGUAUCUGUGCUAUAAGGAUUUCCUGUAACUUUCCCAUGACUCUGAAUUACAUCUACCCUGAGCCCCACAUCAAGAUCUGGGACAUUGCCUUGUCAUGCUGACAGUUGCCCACAUUUCCUGGCUUUGUUCACAUUGCUUCCCAGACCCCUCUUCUGAAGAUUCUGAUUUUCUUGGUGUAGGGAGAGGGGCAGAUAACUUAUAUUUUUAACAAGCUCCCUAAGUAUUUCCUAAGAUUGUGUAAGUUGAGAAAGCACUGCAUUGUGCUAUCUGCUUCUGUUGCCCACAGUACCAGAACAUAUCUCCAGACAUCUAAAACACUAAAACAAAGAACAGCAGGUGUAAUUUCUAAAAAAAAAAAAAAAAAAAAAAACCUGAUCAUGGCAAAUUUAAUAUUAGUCUAAAUAUCUAUCAGAAUUCCAACAUACACCCUCCUUGACCCUGCAAUUCUACUUCAAGGAAUUAAUCUUAACAAAUAUACUUCCAGAUCUAUAGAAAGGUGAAUGUAAAAGCAUUGUCUCUAAUGCUGUGCGGAAUAAUGCAGAAGACUGUGAGAAAAAACCUAAUGUCCAACAAUGGGGGAAGAAAUGUAUGACAUAGCCAUAUAAUAGAAUAUUAUGGAGCUUUACAAAGACAGCUGUCUGUGUUUCGGUAUUUUACAUCCAUACAAGCCAUUCUCUGUGUGUUGAAUUAAAUUAAAAAGGUCUCCAAGUUAUAUUUUAAAUUAAAAAUGUCAAAGUGCCUAAUAGUAUGGGCAGUUGACAAUCUAUCUCCUUCCUCUCUAUAACCUUUCUAACUAGAUUGUAUGUGUCUUGUGCAUUAUAAGAUGUUUAGCAACAUCCUUAGCUUCUGUCCACCAGAUGUUAGCACCCCACCCACAGACCACCACCCUCUCCAUCAUCACCAUCAGAAAGUCUCCAGACAUUUCCAAGUGUUCCCUGGAGGGUAAAAUCACCCCUGUUUGGGAACCACUGUUCUAGUGCUUGAAUAAACGCACAUACUAUCCCUGGAAGGAUACCCAGAAGCAUCACUGGUGCCUGUGGGGUAGGGGACUGGAUGGCUAGGAGCUAAGGCCAGGAGGGGACUGAAUUUUUGCACAAUAUGUUUUCUUGGACCCUUUGAUUUUUGUAUCAUGCACAGAUUUAACCUAUACAAAAGUUUGUUUUGAUUUAAAACAGAAGACCUCAGUCUAGCUAGCACUCAUACCCUACAUUUAUUCCUUCCCUUUAUCCUUCUCUUUCCUUACCCCACAGCUUUGCUCCUCCAUUCACAUUAGGAGAAUCUUUUCCUGUCCUCCAUUCCCACCACAGUGUGGACUUCCUCUCUCCCUAUUUCCACUCUGCUUAAGCCCCACCAUUUCCUGGAGGUAUGUCUGUCACCUUCAAGUUCUACUAAAGCUACCUUGAAUCUAAGCCACACAGGAGGGUUUGUUGCCCUGAUGAAAUACACUCCAUGACCAUACCCUUCCUGUACAUCUACACAUUCCUCAUCAAUUGGAGAUCUUAUCACAGAGAAAUGUUUUAAAAAUCAUUCACUUUAGUGUCAAACUUUCUUCUCUCUUAUUUUAAAUUUUCAUAAUUUUUAAUGUAUGGGUGCCUAAAAAAGAGUGAUGUCUGUUUGAAUUUGACCUGUGUGUUUGCAUUUCAACCAUAAAUUUCCUCGUAAACAACAGACUCCCUAUUUAUCCUACACAAUAACAAUAUAAGAAAGACCUACUUAUAAUCUCUCCUAUCGGCCUAAUUAUAAGCUCUUAGAAGUGC
This 6708-nucleotide long non-coding RNA is filed under the name Homo sapiens (human). Its description in RNAcentral is "non-protein coding LINC01152:15". The record is from RNAcentral. Lineage: Eukaryota; Metazoa; Chordata; Mammalia; Primates; Hominidae.